This 418-nucleotide ribosomal RNA is filed under the name uncultured bacterium. Its description in RNAcentral is "bacterial SSU rRNA". It matches the Rfam family "Bacterial small subunit ribosomal RNA", at positions 358 to 773 of the family's 1533-position model. The record is from RNAcentral.
GGAAUAUUGGACAAUGGGCGCAAGCCUGAUCCAGCCAUCCCGCGUGCAGGAUGACGGCCCUAUGGGUUGUAAACUGCUUUUAUCAGGGAAGAAACUCCCGAAUUUAUUCGGGACUGACGGUACCUGAAGAAUAAGCACCGGCUAACUACGUCCCAGCAGCCGCGGUAAUCCGGAGGGUGCAAGCGUUAUCCGGAAUUACUGGGUUUAAAGGGUGCGUAGGCGGCGGCGUAAGUCAGAAGUGAAAGUUUGCAGCUUAACUGUAGAAUUGCUUUUGAUACUGCGUUGCUUGAAUUAGGUUGAGGUCGGCGGAAUGUGGCAUGUAGCGGUGAAAUGCAUAGAUAUGCCAUAGAACACCAAUUGCGAAGGCAGCUGACUGGACCUAUAUUGACGCUGAGGCACGAAAGCGUGGGGAGCGAAC